AUCCCAUGAUGAGGACACUUACGCAAUAACUCCUUGAAUCGCUCCCAAACCUCAUACGAAGACUCUUCAACCAGUUGUUGGAAGGUUGUGAUCUUGUUCCUCAACUU
This is a small nucleolar RNA of Gossypium arboreum, 107 nucleotides long. It matches the Rfam family "Plant small nucleolar RNA R71". From Rfam's summary of the family: R71 is a member of the C/D box family of snoRNAs containing the C (UGAUGA) and D (CUGA) box motifs. The record is from Rfam. NCBI's taxonomy places the organism in Eukaryota, Viridiplantae, Streptophyta, Magnoliopsida, Malvales, Malvaceae.